UGGGGAAUUUUCCGCAAUGGGCGAAAGCCUGACGGAGCAAUGCCGCGUGGAGGUGGAAGGCCUACGGGUCGUCAACUUCUUUUCUCGGAGAAGAAACAAUGACGGUAUCUGAGGAAUAAGCAUCGGCUAAUUCUGUGCCAG
Molecule: ribosomal RNA, 141 nt
Filed under: uncultured bacterium
Lineage: Bacteria
Description: partial 16S rRNA
Rfam family: Bacterial small subunit ribosomal RNA
Source: RNAcentral